GAGUUUGAUCCUGGCUCAGGAUGAACGCUGGCGGCGUGCCUAAUACAUGCAAGUCGAACGCUUUGUGAUUCAACUGAUUUGAAGAGCUUGCUCAGAUAUGACGAUGGACAUUGCAAAGAGUGGCGAACGGGUGAGUAACACGUGGGAAACCUACCUCUUAGCAGGGGAUAACAUUUGGAAACAGAUGCUAAUACCGUAUAACAAUGACAACCGCAUGGUUGUUAUUUAAAAGAUGGUUCUGCUAUCACUAAGAGAUGGUCCCGCGGUGCAUUAGCUAGUUGGUAAGGUAAUGGCUUACCAAGGCGAUGAUGCAUAGCCGAGUUGAGAGACUGAUCGGCCACAAUGGGACUGAGACACGGCCCAUACUCCUACGGGAGGCAGCAGUAGGGAAUCUUCCACAAUGGGCGAAAGCCUGAUGGAGCAACGCCGCGUGUGUGAUGAAGGGUUUCGGCUCGUAAAACACUGUUGUAAGAGAAGAAUGACAUUGAGAGUAACUGUUCAAUGUGUGACGGUAUCUUACCAGAAAGGAACGGCUAAAUACGUGCCAGCAGCCGCGGUAAUA
RNAcentral lists this ribosomal RNA (562 nucleotides) under uncultured Weissella sp. RNAcentral describes it as "bacterial SSU rRNA". It matches the Rfam family "Bacterial small subunit ribosomal RNA", at positions 9 to 525 of the family's 1533-position model. The record is from RNAcentral. Lineage: Bacteria; Bacillati; Bacillota; Bacilli; Lactobacillales; Lactobacillaceae.